This 454-nucleotide unclassified non-coding RNA is filed under the name uncultured marine bacterium 106. RNAcentral describes it as "partial 16S-23S ribosomal RNA intergenic spacer". The stretch from base 184 to 257 matches the Rfam family "tRNA". The record is from RNAcentral.
CCUCCUUUCUAAGAGUAACCAGGCUGGAGUUAACACUCUAGCCCGAGACUUAAGUUAAAGAAAUGUUAUUUGGGCUGGUCUUAUCUAGUUUAAAAGUAGGACAUAUUAGAGCUUGCGGGCAAGAUUUAGUUGGUUGUUGAUUAGAGUAUGGUAAGACAAGGUUUCAUGGCCGGGUUAAUUCUUGGGCCUGUAGCUCAGCUGGUUAGAGCGCACGCCUGAUAAGCGUGAGGUCGGUAGUUCGAAUCUACCCAGGCCCACCAUUAAUUGGUACUCUAUACCAGUUUUUUCAUGAUGUUUUAGUUUGAAAUUGAAAACAAGGCUCUUUCAACGGGAAUUUUCUGGGGCUGUAGCUCAGAUGGGAGAGCACCUGCUUUGCAAGCAGGGGGUCACGAGUUCGAUCCUCGUCAGCUCCACCAUUGUUCGUUACCAAACCUUAAAACAUUAAUAGUUUUCA